AAAUUGAAGAGUUUGAUCAUGGCUCAGAUUGAACGCUGGCGGCAGGCCUAACACAUGCAAGUCGAACGGUAACAGGAAGCAGCUUGCUGCUUUGCUGACGAGUGGCGGACGGGUGAGUAAUGUCUGGGAAACUGCCUGAUGGAGGGGGAUAACUACUGGAAACGGUGGCUAAUACCGCAUAACGUCGCAAGACCAAAGAGGGGGACCUUCGGGCCUCUUGCCAUCAGAUGUGCCCAGAUGGGAUUAGCUUGUUGGUGAGGUAACGGCUCACCAAGGCGACGAUCCCUAGCUGGUCUGAGAGGAUGACCAGCCACACUGGAACUGAGACACGGUCCAGACUCCUACGGGAGGCAGCAGUGGGGAAUAUUGCACAAUGGGCGCAAGCCUGAUGCAGCCAUGCCGCGUGUAUGAAGAAGGCCUUCGGGUUGUAAAGUACUUUCAGCAGGGAGGAAGGUGUUG
Molecule: ribosomal RNA, 459 nt
Filed under: Salmonella enterica
Lineage: Bacteria; Pseudomonadati; Pseudomonadota; Gammaproteobacteria; Enterobacterales; Enterobacteriaceae
Also listed under: 1 other name
Description: bacterial SSU rRNA
Rfam family: Bacterial small subunit ribosomal RNA
Source: RNAcentral